RNAcentral lists this ribosomal RNA (601 nucleotides) under uncultured archaeon. Its description in RNAcentral is "bacterial SSU rRNA". It matches the Rfam family "Archaeal small subunit ribosomal RNA", at positions 319 to 923 of the family's 1478-position model. The record is from RNAcentral.
UCCCUAUGGGGUGCAGCAGGCGCGAAACCUCCACAAUUCACGAAAGUGAGAUGGGGUUACCUCGAGUGCCGUCUGAAGAAGGCGGCUUUUCCAUGGUGUAACAAGCCGUGGGAAUAAGGGGGGGGCAAGACUGGUGUCAGCCGCCGCGGUAACACCAGCCCCCCGAGUGGUGGGGAUGAUUAUUUGGCCUAAAGCGUCCGUAGCCGGCUCUGUAAAUCUCUCGUUAAAUCCAGCGUCCUAAGCGUUGGGCUGCGAGGGAAACUGCAGAGCUAGAGGGUGGGAGAGGUCAGCGGUAUUCCUGGGGUAGGGGCGAAAUCCAUUGAUCCCAGGAGGACCACCAGUGGCGAAGGCUGCUGUCCAGAACACGCCUGACGGUGAGGGACGAAAGCUGGGGUAGCGAAUCGGAUUAGAUACCCGAGUAGUCCCAGCCGUAAACGAUGCAGGCUAGGUGUUGGGUCGGCCACGCGCCGCCUCAGUGCCACAGGGAAGCCAUUAAGCCGGCCGCCUGGGGAGUACGGCCGCAAGGCUGAAACUUAAAGGAAUUGGCGGGGGAGCACCACCAGGCGUGAAGCCUGCGGUUUAAUUGGAUUCAACGCCGGAA